RNAcentral lists this ribosomal RNA (253 nucleotides) under uncultured bacterium. RNAcentral's name for it is "partial 16S ribosomal RNA". It matches the Rfam family "Bacterial small subunit ribosomal RNA", at positions 524 to 776 of the family's 1533-position model. The record is from RNAcentral.
GACAGAGGUGGCAAGCGUUGUUCGGAAUUACUGGGCGUAAAGGGUGUGUAGGCGGUUAGAUAAGUCAGUGGUGAAAUCCUACGGCUUAACCGUAGAACUGCCUUUGAAACUGUCUGACUAGAGUGCAGGAGAGGAGGGUGGAAUUCCCGGUGUAGAGGUGAAAUUCGUAGAUAUCGGGAGGAACAUCAGUGGCGAAGGCGGCCCUCUGGACUGCAACUGACGCUGAGACACGAAAGCGUGGGGAGCAAACAGG